This 254-nucleotide ribosomal RNA is filed under the name uncultured bacterium. RNAcentral describes it as "partial 16S ribosomal RNA". It matches the Rfam family "Bacterial small subunit ribosomal RNA", at positions 524 to 776 of the family's 1533-position model. The record is from RNAcentral.
UACGUAGGUGACAAGCGUUGUCCGGAUUUACUGGGCGUAAAGAGCGCGCAGGCGGUCGAUCAAGUCGAGUGUGAAAGCCCCCGGCUCAACUGGGGAGGGUCAUUCGAUACUGAUCGACUCGAAGGCAGGAGAGGGUAGUGGAAUUCCCGGUGUAGUGGUGAAAUGCGUAGAUAUCCGGAGGAACACCGGUGGCGAAGGCGGCUUCCUGGACCGAUUACUGACGCUGAGGCGCGAAAGCUAGGGGAGCAAACGGG